RNAcentral lists this long non-coding RNA (771 nucleotides) under Homo sapiens (human). RNAcentral's name for it is "HSALNT0082466". Lineage: Eukaryota; Metazoa; Chordata; Mammalia; Primates; Hominidae. The record is from RNAcentral.
CAUCGACUCACGCGUUCACCUCCUUCCGGUCUAAAUGGGGCCCACGCGUCAUCACAGAGUAUCUGGGAGCCCUGCCCUCUUGCAGAUGGGAAUGAAGGCCCAGGUGCUCUGGAGAGGUGACUCUCCUCUAGGUGUCUCGCUUCUCAGAAAGGAAACACUGGUUCUGUAAACCUGUUUGAGAAGAAAAGCUCGAGGUUUCUUGGCCUCUCUGCUUCUGGAGCCAGGGGAAAAAAUAGCCCCAGGCUGAAGACAGGAGGGACCAGAUUGCUGCUUGGUGAUGCGAUCUCACUGCAGAGGCAGCCAGGAGACCCUCCUGAGACGAAUCGGAGAGUCCAUGCUGCUUUUACACACAUCCUAGUUCUUUUAUAACUAGCCUUUUCCUAUUAACGGACAUCAUUCAAAAGCCAGUUUUAAGCAACAUAAAUAUUGAAAACAAUACUAUACUAUUUAGAAUUAAUUAUAAGUUUUGUUUUUAAAGCCUAAAUCUUUUAUUGUUGUUUGAACCCUGGGCACUGAAGCUAAUAAUGUAACUUUUCUCCCUUCUUUCUUCUUUGGCAUAGAUUUAAAGAACUGUUAGACUCAUUUAAAAUGCUAUUAGGCAUUUUAAAGAGUAAUUGUUAAAUGUGUUGUCUCUUGUGGGACUGGAAAUGUUCUGUUCUUAUCUGGCGCUGGUUACAUCCUGUUUUUCAUUUGGGAAAGUGCAUUGAGCUGGAAAUUUAUAUGUUCAAUUUCUGUAUGUAAAUUGUACUUCAGUAAAAAUUUUCAAAAAAG